Molecule: long non-coding RNA, 734 nt
Organism: Homo sapiens (human)
Lineage: Eukaryota; Metazoa; Chordata; Mammalia; Primates; Hominidae
Gene: PIWIL4-AS1
Product: PIWIL4 antisense RNA 1
Source: Ensembl
GUUCUAACCCGAUUCCCUGCUCUGUUAUGUUAUGUCUGCCCUCCUCUGAUGCUUGGGAAAUCGUUUGUUCUGUGGGCUUCUCCUGAGGAGAUGGACGAUUUUCAGAGCUUGCAGAAAGGCCCGUGAGAAGAGCAGGGGAGGUAUAGUCAUUUCCCUUGUUUUACGGCAGAGGAAACUGAAGAUAAAGCUAUGAAGUGAAGCUGGCUAGUGGCUGCCUCAGGGUUACUACUGAUAUCACUGGACCCCUUCAGAACCAAGCAUGAAUGAAGCCUCCAAGGAGGGGACUGAAAAUGGGUACCUCCCUGUCGCUGUCACCCUUAGGAGCUUUUCACAUGGAGUUAGAAUAGAGCCUAAUGGAAGUGGGCAACUUGAAGCACAUUCUUCCCAGCAAUCCUUUUUCCCACCUGCAAGUGAGGCUCUGAGGGAUUCUUCAGAAAUCAAGACUUUGACCCACUCCAUAUUAUGAAUGCCUCAGCCUACAAAGAGCUUGCCUAACCCAACAUCAAGGGGUGGACACGUGAUGCUGGACUUCCAGGUACCAGAAACAGGCCUUACUCCACCUUCUAUGAGCAUAUGCCUACACAGGUAGGCUGGGUAUUGCAUUUUCUGAAGAGCAGAUACUGUAUUUAAUUCAUAGUUGUAUCCCCAGUGCCUUAUGGCAAGCCUGCCAUGUGUUUGUGACUAAUAAUUGUGUGGUGAAUGAAUCAAGUUCCAUAAAGUCUUUAAAUUUCAAA